GUUUCCGUAGGUGAACCUGCGGAAGGAUCAUUAUCGG
Molecule: ribosomal RNA, 37 nt
Filed under: Everettia corrugata corrugata
Lineage: Eukaryota; Metazoa; Mollusca; Gastropoda; Stylommatophora; Ariophantidae
Also listed under: 16 other names
Description: partial 18S ribosomal RNA
Source: RNAcentral